RNAcentral lists this transfer RNA (72 nucleotides) under Camelus bactrianus (Bactrian camel). It matches the Rfam family "tRNA". Rfam says of the family: Transfer RNA (tRNA) molecules are approximately 80 nucleotides in length. Their secondary structure includes four short double-helical elements and three loops (D, anti-codon, and T loops). RNAcentral also lists the same sequence under 1 other name. Lineage: Eukaryota; Metazoa; Chordata; Mammalia; Artiodactyla; Camelidae. The record is from Rfam by way of RNAcentral.
GAGGGUAUAGCGCAGAGGUAGAGUGUGUGCCUAGCAUACACAAGAUCCUGUGUUCAAUCCCCUGUACCUCCA